AGUGAACGCUGGCGGCGUGCCUAACACAUGCAAGUCGAACGAUGAUGGAGGAGCUUGCUCUUCCUGAUUAGUGGCGCACGGGUGAGUAAUGCAUAGAUAAUGUGCCCCUUAGUUCGGGAUAGCCACUGGAAACGGUGAUUAAUACCGGAUACUCCUUCUUGUCAUAAGAUAAGUCGGGAAAGUUUUUCGCUAAGGGAUCAGUCUAUGUUCCGUCAGUUAGUUGGUGAGGUAACGGCUCACCAAGACAAUGACGGAUAUCUGGUUUGAGAGGAUGAUCAGACACACUGGAACUGAGACACGGUCCAGACUCCUACGGGAGGCAGCAGUGAGGAAUAUUGCACAAUGGAGGAAACUCUGAUGCAGCAACGUCGCGUGGAGGAUGACGCAUUUCGGUGUGUAAACUCCUUUUAUUAGGGAAGAUUAUGACGGUACCUAAUGAAUAAGCACCGGCUAACUCCGUGCCAGCCGCCGCCGUAA
Molecule: ribosomal RNA, 477 nt
Filed under: uncultured bacterium
Lineage: Bacteria
Description: partial 16S ribosomal RNA
Rfam family: Bacterial small subunit ribosomal RNA
Source: RNAcentral